This 101-nucleotide small nuclear RNA is filed under the name Meriones unguiculatus (Mongolian gerbil). Lineage: Eukaryota; Metazoa; Chordata; Mammalia; Rodentia; Muridae. The record is from RNAcentral.
GUGCUCGCUUUGGCAGCACAUAUACGAAAACGAUACAGAGAAGAUUAGCACGGCCCCUGUGCAAGGAUGACACGUAAAUUUGUGAAGCUUUCCAUAUUUUU